This 1608-nucleotide long non-coding RNA is filed under the name Homo sapiens (human). Its description in RNAcentral is "non-protein coding lnc-JMJD7-7:1". The record is from RNAcentral. Lineage: Eukaryota; Metazoa; Chordata; Mammalia; Primates; Hominidae.
CACCACUCCCGGCUCUGUUAUAAUUUUCGUUUGCCUGCUCAAGAGCGAUGGGGUGCAGAGUUUCCAGAGCCAUCUUGCUUUUGUCGUACUUUUUUUUUUUUUGAGACAGACCUGGGUGACAGAGCGAGACCCUGCCUCAAAAAAAAAAAAAAAAAUGAAGGAAGGGCUGAGCCAGGGUGGCAUGAGCCUGUAAUCCCAGCUACUUGGGAGGAUGAGGCAGGAGGAUUACUUGAGCCCAGGAGUUCAAGACCAGCUUGGGCAACAUAGUGAGACCUUGUCUCAAAAAAACAGAGAAAGGAAACAGGAACAAGGAAAGAGUAGGAAAUGGAGAAAGAAGGAGGAAAAAAAAACAGGAAGAGUUGAGGGGUUAGAGGAGAAAAUGAUGUGACUCAGGAAUUCCACAGCUGUUGGUCAGCCUGGCAGUUCUGGGCAUAUCUAGUCACAUCGGAGGUCCCAGUGUCCCCAAAUUUGCAUAUCAAAGUGGUUUAUUGAGCCCAAGAUGCUUAGCCCUCACUAGCAACUUGCACCUACCUCCCUUCAAGUUUCCAGCCAGUAGUGGCGUUCAGAUAUGGGGGCUGCAGUGGGGUCCCACUAGGGAAAAUUAGGUCUGGGGGAAGUAGCUGUCUCCUCUUUCUCUCCUCCCUGCCUUUCCUAUUCGCAGUCUCCAGGCUUGCUCUUGUCUGCUAUUUCCAGUGCUAAUGAAGAGUUGAGGCAGAAGGGGCAACGGGCCAGGGCCUGCUGACAGCCAGGAAGCCUAAAGAGAAGCUGCCUGGCUAUUGGCCUUUGGCUUCUUGCCCCCGAUUCCUACUACCCAGCUUCCAUCUCCGGAGCUGCCUCUGGAAAGGCAGGACCUGAUUCCAUCCAGCAGCCUUGCUGCCUGACGGGAGAGGUUGCCCCCACCUUCUCUGUGAGGCAGGCAGAGUCCCUGAUUCUGCUUCUGGCAGUCGGGGGGUUCUUCUCAGGUUUCUUGGGGCCAGAGAUUCUCAGGGUGGGGCUUGGGACCUCUGUGGCACUGUAAGGCUUUCCCAGGCCUUCUCAGGCUAUCUCUAUCCCCCACCCCAUCUUACUGAGCCUCUCUGCUGUGUGGCCCCUGCCUCGCCUCCCACUUCCUUCCUUAUUCAACACAUGGUGUGGGGGGCCAGCUCUUGCCAGGUACACACGUGGGUGCACACGUGAGAGGCCUUACAUCUUAAGGCACACAUGCUUGAUACACGUGUGGCCCCAAGCCUGUGAACGGGCUGUGCACCCGAGGCCUGCUUUGCCCAAAUCACAUUUCUUCUUCCCUCCUACACCCCUUCCUGGGGUAUGCACAAGGGCUGCGGGAUGGCCUGUGUCCCUGCUGCCCUUUGUGGGUAUGGCCAGAGAUAGAGCUGGUAUUUAGGGGCCUGGCUGGGGGGACAGGCUUCCAGGGAACCCUUUCACCCUCAUGGGGCUACAGAGAUAGUUCCUCUUGGGUGGGGAAAAGGAGCAAGAACAGGUUGCCAGGAGAAAGCAGUGGAGGCUGGGCACGGUGGCUUAUGCCUGUAAUCCCAGCACUUUGGGAGGCAGAUCACUUGAGUUCAAGAGUUUGGGACCAGCCUGGGCAACGUGGCAAGAUCCCGUGUCUAC